ACAGGGUUUCGUAGUUGAACCUGCGGGAAGGAUCAUUAUUGAGAGAGGGGCCUCGUGCUCCCGGGGGUUUCUGGCCCCCAACUCUUCACCCCUUGCCUACCUACCUUUGUUGCUUUGGCGGACCCGGGAAUCCUCUCGCGCUGGCUCUUUAAGCCGGUGCGCGUCCGUCAGAGGGCCAUUUAAUUCUAUUUAAUCUAUGACGUCCGAGUCUAAACACAAAUGAAUAAAAACUUUCAACAACGGGAUCUCUUGGUUCCAGCAUCGAUGAAGGAACGCAGCGAAAUGCGAUAAAGUAAUGUGGAAUUGCAGAAUUCAGGUGAAUCAUCGAAUCUUUGAACGCACAUUGCGCCCCUCGGCAAUUCCGGGGGGCAUGCCUGUUCGAGCGUCAUUGCACCCCUCCUAAAGCGCAGACUUGGUACUUGGGCUCUUCGCGCCCCUGCGGCGUGGGCCGAAAAAGCAGUGGCGGUCCGGCGUGACCUCUUUAAGCGUAAGUGAACAUCCUCCCCGCGCUGUUAGAAGCAUCUCGUCUGUGGCCGGCCAGAGAACCUAUUUAUUUCCAUAAUGACACUCUGAUCAGGUAGAGAUA
Molecule: ribosomal RNA, 586 nt
Filed under: Xanthoparmelia pulla
Lineage: Eukaryota; Fungi; Ascomycota; Lecanoromycetes; Lecanorales; Parmeliaceae
Description: eukaryotic LSU rRNA
Rfam family: 5.8S ribosomal RNA (bases 229-388)
Source: RNAcentral